GUGGGGAAUAUUGGACAAUGGGCGAAAGCCUGAUCCAGCCAUGCCGCGUGUGUGAAGAAGGUCUUCGGAUUGUAAAGCACUUUAAGUUGGGAGGAAGGGCAGUAAGUUAAUACCUUGCUGUUUUGACGUUACCGACAGAAUAAGCACCGGCUAACUUCGUGCCAGCAGCCGCGGUAAUACGAAGGGUGCAAGCGUUAAUCGGAAUUACUGGGCGUAAAGCGCGCGUAGGUGGUUUUGUAAGUUGGAGGUGAAAUCCCCGGGCUCAACCUGGGAACUGCCUCCAAAACUGCAUGACUAGAGUACGGUAGAGGGUAGUGGAAUUUCCUGUGUAGCGGUGAAAUGCGUAGAUAUAGGUAGGAACACCAGUGGCGAAGGCGACUACCUGGACUGAUACUGACACUGAGGUGCGAAAGCGUGGGGAGCAAACAGGAUUAGAUACCCCGGUAGUCC
Molecule: ribosomal RNA, 450 nt
Filed under: uncultured bacterium
Lineage: Bacteria
Description: bacterial SSU rRNA
Rfam family: Bacterial small subunit ribosomal RNA
Source: RNAcentral